This 468-nucleotide ribosomal RNA is filed under the name uncultured bacterium. Its description in RNAcentral is "partial 16S ribosomal RNA". It matches the Rfam family "Bacterial small subunit ribosomal RNA", at positions 28 to 507 of the family's 1533-position model. The record is from RNAcentral.
GACGAACGCUGGCGGCGUGCUUAACACAUGCAAGUCGAACGGAAAGGCACUGCUUUUGUGGGGUGCUCGAGUGGCGAACGGGUGAGUAACACGUGAGUAACCUGCCCUUGACUUUGGGAUAACUUCAGGAAACUGGGGCUAAUACCGGAUAGGAGCUCCUGCUGCAUGGAGGGGGUUGGAACGUUUCGGCGGUUGGGGAUGGACUCGCGGCUUAUCAGCUUGUUGGUGGGGUAGUGGCUUACCAAGGCUUUGACGGGUAGCCGGCCUGAGAGGGUGACCGGGCACAAGGGGACUGAGAUACGGCCCAGACUCCUACGGGGGGCAGCAGUGGGGAAUAUUGCACAAUGGGCGGAAGCCUGAUACAGCAACGCCGCGUGCGGGAUGACGGCCUUCGGGUUGUAAACCGCUUUCGCCUGUGACGAAGCUUGAGUGACGGUAAUGGGUAAAGAAGCACCGGCUAACUACGUG